RNAcentral lists this ribosomal RNA (492 nucleotides) under uncultured bacterium. RNAcentral describes it as "partial 16S ribosomal RNA". It matches the Rfam family "Bacterial small subunit ribosomal RNA", at positions 29 to 507 of the family's 1533-position model. The record is from RNAcentral.
AGUGAACGCUGGCGGUAGGCCUAACACAUGCAAGUCGAACGGCAGCACAGUAAGAGCUUGCUCUUACGGGUGGCGAGUGGCGGACGGGUGAGGAAUACAUCGUAAUCUACUUUUUCGUGGGGGAUAACGUAGGGAAACUUACUCUAAUACCGCAUACGACCUACGGGUGAAAGCAGUGGAUCUUCGGACCUUGCGCGAUUGAAUUAGCCGAUGUCGGAUUAGCUAGUUGGCGGGGUAAAGGCCCACCAAGGCGACGAUCCGUAGCUGGUCUGAGAGGAUGAUCAGCCACAUUGGAACUGAGACACGGUCCAGACUCCUACGGGAGGCAGCAGUGGGGAAUAUUGGACAAUGGGCGCAAGCCUGAUCCAGCCAUACCGCGUGGGUGAAGAAGGCCUUCGGGUUGUAAAGCCCUUUUGUUGGGAAAGAAAAGCAGCAGGUUAAUACCCCGCUGUUCUGACGGUACCCAAAGAAUAAGCACCGGCUAACUUCGUG